CCUACGGGGGGCAGCAGUGGGGAAUAUUGCACAAUGGGCGCAAGCCUGAUGCAGCCAUGCCGCGUGUGUGAAGAAGGCCUUCGGGUUGUAAAGCACUUUCAGCGGGGAGGAAGGCGGUGAGGUUAAUAACCUCAUCGAUUGACGUUACCCGCAGAAGAAGCACCGGCUAACUCCGUGCCAGCAGCCGCGGUAAUACGGAGGGUGCAAGCGUUAAUCGGAAUUACUGGGCGUAAAGCGCACGCAGGCGGUCUGUCAAGUCGGAUGUGAAAUCCCCGGGCUCAACCGGGGAACUGCAUUCGAAACUGGCAGGCUAGAGUCUUGUAGAGGGGGGUAGAAUUCCAGGUGUAGCGGUGAAAUGCGUAGAGAUCUGGAGGAAUACCGGUGGCGAAGGCGGCCCCCUGGACAAAGACUGACGCUCAGGUGCGAAAGCGUGGGGAGCAAACAGGAUUAGAUACCCCUGUAGUC
Molecule: ribosomal RNA, 465 nt
Filed under: uncultured Klebsiella sp.
Lineage: Bacteria; Pseudomonadati; Pseudomonadota; Gammaproteobacteria; Enterobacterales; Enterobacteriaceae
Description: bacterial SSU rRNA
Rfam family: Bacterial small subunit ribosomal RNA
Source: RNAcentral